Non-coding RNA from Oncorhynchus nerka (sockeye salmon), 669 nucleotides. NCBI's taxonomy places the organism in Eukaryota, Metazoa, Chordata, Actinopteri, Salmoniformes, Salmonidae. The record is from the annotation of a RefSeq genome assembly.
GGUGCUCACUCUUGUGUGAAGGAGGUUUUUGUACGGCGACUUCACCACAAUGAAUCACUGUGGUGGACUUUUGGAAGCGGCACAAAACUGGUGGUGAAAAGUAAGUCCAUUUUUGUCUUUCUCUCAUAAAACUAAUUGUAAUCAUGCUAUUGAACAACGCUGGUCCCUCUGUCAGGCCCAAAGUGUCUCUGCUCCCCCCGUCCUCUGAGCAGCUCUCCGAGGGCUCGGCCACACUGGUCUGCCUGCUGAGUGACUACUCCCCCCAGGGGGCGAUGGUGAGCUGGGAGGUAGACGGGGCAGAGGUGAAGGAGGGGGUCCUGACCACCACAGAAGAAGAGAAGGGUGGCCGCUACAGUUGCAGCAGCACCCUGACCCUGAGCAAGGCACGCUGGGAAGAGGGAGAGGUCUACACCUGCAGGGUCGCCCACGACGACACCAGUGACUCGGCCGCCUUCCGGAAAAGUCACUGUAGUGUCUAGAAGCCAUUGUAGGGGGCUAGAGAUUCCCCACAUGGUGCAAAACAUUAGUGUUUUAGAGCUGAAUGUUCCAGUAUAAUAGUAUAAUAGUGAAUAAUAUCAGUAGUGCAGUGUGCUAAACCAUUUUGAGAUUUAGUUGUACAUGUCGUCUUGCCUUCAAGUUCAAAUAAAGCUUGUUAUGAUUAAAAAAUAA